This 1301-nucleotide ribosomal RNA is filed under the name Triticum aestivum (bread wheat). Its description in RNAcentral is "partial small subunit ribosomal RNA". The record is from RNAcentral. Lineage: Eukaryota; Viridiplantae; Streptophyta; Magnoliopsida; Poales; Poaceae.
UGGUUUAUCUGGCUAAUUAUUUUCGGGUAGGGUUCCGGGCAGGCCGGUCUGGUGAUCUGGGUUGAUGUCUCAUCUCAUGUGCUGGAGCGUAGGAGUGUAGGGCUAAGUGUCUUUGGUGGUCGUCGGUUAGAGAGCAAGAGGUUGAUGAUUGGGAUCGGCGACGGACGACGAACGGAGCUACGUGCGGCGCGGGGGGUCUUGCUCCUGGCCGCGGGCUCGCCACCGGGACCGGCCACUUCUGGCAGCGGGCUCGCCGCCGGGACCGUCCACUUCUGCCCGCGGCGCUCGCCGCCGGGACUCGGGGACGCGGCGGCGGUUGGGGUUGGAGGGCAGCUAGCGAGGUGGCGGUUUUCAGGCGACGGCCACGAGGUGGAGGGUUCCUGGUCAAGUUGGUGAUGUCAAGCAGUGGUGAGUGGUGAUGGGCAGGAGAAGGUGUGCCAAGCAGGCGACGGCCACGAGGUGGAGGGCUUCUGGACUGGUGAAAGCCAAGAGGUGUAGCGUCGACUUCUACAAAAGACUUGUACUACUCCUUGACUUACUCUUACUUCUACGUAAAUACUCACAUCUCCGUCUACGUCUUCGUCCUCUGUUUAGGCAGAAUGUAUCAUAAUAACUGCUACUUCAACAGCUUCCACGGUUAGAUCUUCGACGAGUUCUACUGUUCGGUUAACUUCGACUUAGUACUUAGAAGAAUGAAACACAGUAUACUUAGAACAAUGAACGAGAGUUUACAUUUGUACAUGACCAUGACACAAUGAACGACAACGUAUAUUUGUACAUAACCAUGAAAGACGGGAGUUUAUAUUUGUACAUAACCAUGAAAGACAGGGUACGAGACAGGAGGAGACGAGACAAGUUAAGGGGAUAGAAUAUUUGAAGUCAAAAAACUUGUCGUACCCAAGUCUGUCAUCGUACUGCUGGGUUGUAGAGUUAAGGACGCACAUAACGACCCUCUCAUACCUUUGAUCCCCUACUACAACGUCGUAAUACAUGUCUACCUCUACAUCCACGACCACGUAACGCACACCUUUACGUCUUCUCUUGACUUGUUUGACGUCCCAUACCACCACGACGACGUAGUCAAUCACUGUUAAAUGAAUCCUUUCCCACCUACAACCACACACCGUAAGACUAUAAACAUAGUCCAAAUCAAGAUCCCUACUAGAAUAGGAUCAAGUAAACGAUGACUAGAAUAGGUGUUUACCAACACUCCGUUACAUUACAUACAACAUUCCUUUACAUGCCUUACUUUAAGUCAAACGUCUUAAACGGUUCGUUACAUGACUUAUAGACUUUCCGUC